GUGACCUCAAAUCAGGUAGGACUACCCGCUGAACUUAAGCAUAUCAAUAAGCGGAGGAAAAGAAACUAACAAGGAUUCCCCUAGUAACUGCGAGUGAAGCGGGAAAAGCUCAAAUUUAAAAUCUGACAGUCUUUGGCUGUCCGAGUUGUAAUCUAGAGAAGCAUUAUCCGCACUGGACCGUGUACAAGUCUCCUGGAAUGGAGCGUCAUAGAGGGUGAGAAUCCCGUCUUUGACACGGACUGCCAGGGCUUUUGUGAUGUGCUCUCAAAGAGUCGAGUUGUUUGGGAAUGCAGCUCAAAAUGGGUGGUAAAUUCCAUCUAAAGCUAAAUAUUGGCGAGAGACCGAUAGCGAACAAGUACCGUGAGGGAAAGAUGAAAAGAACUUUGGAAAGAGAGUUAAACAGUACGUGAAAUUGCUGAAAGGGAAACGCUUGAAGUCAGUCACAUUGGCCAGGGAUCAGCCUUGCUUUUGCUUGGUGUACUUUCUGGUUGAUGGGUCAGCAUCAAUUUUGACUAUUGGAAAAAGAUUAAGGGAAUGUAGCAUCUUCGGAUGUGUUUAUAGCCCUUGGUUGCAUACAAUGGUUGGGAUUGAGGAACUCAGCACGCCGCAAGGCCGGGUUUAACCACGUA
Molecule: ribosomal RNA, 629 nt
Filed under: Thaxterogaster vibratilis
Lineage: Eukaryota; Fungi; Basidiomycota; Agaricomycetes; Agaricales; Cortinariaceae
Description: eukaryotic LSU rRNA
Rfam family: Eukaryotic large subunit ribosomal RNA
Source: RNAcentral